Long non-coding RNA from Asparagus officinalis (garden asparagus), 589 nucleotides. RefSeq lists it as uncharacterized. The transcript has 6 exons. Lineage: Eukaryota; Viridiplantae; Streptophyta; Magnoliopsida; Asparagales; Asparagaceae. The record is from RefSeq and is a predicted model, not a curated record.
CCCAAUUCCAAAAUCGCUCAAAAUUAAAAAGGCUCCUGCGAGCGGACAGAAGCUAGGGCGACGGCGAAAUUUAGGCUUUUUCCUUUCUUCUUCCUCUUCAAACACUGAACUGAAGCACAUCCCCUCUUGGCUCUUGAUUCAGGUACAAUUCGUCCUUAUAGCUUCAAUUCCUUUCAAAAUUAGUCUUUAAAUCUUGGAAUGCAGUUGGAUAUUAGGUAAUAGGUAAAAUUUUAUGCCAGGAAAUAUCAAGGAUGGGAGCACUGGAGAUGUUGCUGAUGAUCACUACCACCGAUACAUGUGAAUUGUGAAUCUGAGGAUCAUGGUUUGGACUUUGAAGAAACUGUAGCCACUAUUUUGCUCAAAUGGAAGAGGUUUUGAUGUAGGGGAUAUAAAGACUUAAAUAGGAGAAUGCGGUCAAGAUGGCUUCGAUAUAUGAAUCUUUUGGAACAGACUUGUACUUUUGAAUUGAUCAUAUUUUGAUGGUUGUGAAUUGAUCAUAUUUUGAUGGGUUGAAGUUAUCUUGUAACUACUUAUUUUUGAAUGAUGGGCUUAAAACAUAUGAAUGUUUUAUUAUUUUUUAUUUUGAUGA